GCCCAGCUGGCUCAGUGGGAGGAGUGUGAGAUUCUAGAUCUCAGGGUCGUGAGUUCAAGCCCCACGGGGUG
Molecule: transfer RNA, 71 nt
Filed under: Ailuropoda melanoleuca (giant panda)
Lineage: Eukaryota; Metazoa; Chordata; Mammalia; Carnivora; Ursidae
Rfam family: tRNA
About the family: Transfer RNA (tRNA) molecules are approximately 80 nucleotides in length. Their secondary structure includes four short double-helical elements and three loops (D, anti-codon, and T loops).
Source: Rfam by way of RNAcentral